CUACGGGUGGCUCCAGUCGAGAAUCUUCCACAAUGGGCGAAAGCCUGAUGGAGCGACGCCGCGUGCUUGAAGAAACCCUUCGGGGCGUAAAAGGCUUUUCUGAGGGAACAAUUAUGAUUUAUCAUGAUGAGCGUACCUCAGGAAUAAGGGGCGGCAAACUUCGUGCCAGAAGCCUCGGUAAUACGAAGGUCCCAAGCGUUAUCCGGAUUAACUGGGCGUAAAGCGUGUGUAGGCGGUUUUAAUAGUGGUUGGUUAAAUUCCAGAGCUUAACUUUGGAGCUGCCAAUCAAACGUUAAAACUAGAGCAAGUGAGAGGUUGAUGGAACUUACCAAGUAGGGGUGAAAUCCGUUGAUAUGGUAAGGAACACCAAAGGCGAAGGCAAUCAACUGGUACUUAGCUGACGCUGAGACACGAAAGCGUGGGGAGAGAACGGGAUUAGAUACCCCCGUAGUC
Molecule: ribosomal RNA, 453 nt
Filed under: uncultured bacterium
Lineage: Bacteria
Description: partial 16S ribosomal RNA
Rfam family: Bacterial small subunit ribosomal RNA
Source: RNAcentral